RNAcentral lists this ribosomal RNA (252 nucleotides) under uncultured bacterium. Its description in RNAcentral is "partial 16S ribosomal RNA". It matches the Rfam family "Bacterial small subunit ribosomal RNA", at positions 524 to 776 of the family's 1533-position model. The record is from RNAcentral.
UACGAAGGGGGCUAGCGUUGUUCGGAAUUACUGGGCGUAAAGAGCUCGUAGGCGGCUUGUCGCGUCGGCUGUGAAAACUCGGGGCUCAACCCCGAGCCUGCAGUCGAUACGGGCAGACUAGAGUGCGGUAGGGGAGACUGGAAUUCCUGGUGUAGCGGUGAAAUGCGCAGAUAUCGGGAGGAACACCGGUGGCGAAGGCGGUUCUCUGGGCCUGUACUGACGCUGAGGAGCGAAAGCGUGGGAGCGAACAGG